Molecule: long non-coding RNA, 376 nt
Filed under: Phaseolus vulgaris (common bean)
Lineage: Eukaryota; Viridiplantae; Streptophyta; Magnoliopsida; Fabales; Fabaceae
Description: long non-coding RNA (PVUL_LNC000752)
Source: RNAcentral
AGCAAUCCGAGGUUAUCAUCGAAAAAAUUGUAAGUUAUUUUUGUUAUUUUCAUUUAUUUUAAGCAUUAAUUAUAUUAAUACUUGAAAAUAUGAUUUUUGUGUACUCUUGCAGGAUUCCUUGGAAUCCGACGGUAAAUUUGUUGUUGAAGGUCGUCACGAUAUCCUGAUUGAAGCAAUUGGACGACUUGAGAACUCUGGUCGUGUUUGUGCAACUGGACAAGGGGUCGGAAUUAAACUAUAUUUUGGAGUUUCAGAACGACAGUCAUCCUCCUCCUCCAAAGAGAACGAAACUCAAAUGAAGACUAAGAUACGUGAAGAAUUAAUGGAGGAGAUGAGAAAGGAGACUGAUUUGAUGCGGCUAGAGAUGAAAAAGGAG